GACGAACCGAGCGAACGUUGUUCGGAAUCACUGGGCUUAAAGGGCGCGGAGGCGGGCUGCCAAGUUUGGGGUGAAAUCCUCCGGCUCAACCGGAGCAGUGCCUCGAAUUCUGGCGGUCUCGAGGGAGGGAGGGGCGUGCGGAACUGGGGGUGGAGCGGUGAAAUGCGUUGAUAUCCACAGGAACUCCGGUGGCGAAGGCGGCACGCUGGACCUUUUCUGACGCUGAGGCGCGAAAGCCAGGGGAGCGAACGGG
RNAcentral lists this ribosomal RNA (253 nucleotides) under uncultured bacterium. RNAcentral's name for it is "partial 16S ribosomal RNA". It matches the Rfam family "Bacterial small subunit ribosomal RNA", at positions 524 to 776 of the family's 1533-position model. The record is from RNAcentral.